This 68-nucleotide transfer RNA is filed under the name Hamamelistes spinosus. RNAcentral describes it as "tRNA-Ile". The record is from RNAcentral. Lineage: Eukaryota; Metazoa; Arthropoda; Insecta; Hemiptera; Hormaphididae.
AAUAAAAUGCCUGAAAAAGGGUUACUUUGAUAGAGUAAAUCAUGUAAUUAACCUAAUUACUUUUAUUA